GUCAGUCCCGGGCGAGCUCCUUCCUCUAUUUCAAAUGCAUUGGCUUAACCCAGCUGGACCGAAGCCUGGGACACGGAAUGGGCUCGGUGGGGGCCUUCCAGACUAGAAAAAGGAGACAUGGAAUCUCAAUGGAGUUGCCACCAACUGGCAUCCGCUCAUACACAAUACUGGGAUACAUCCACCUCUUGGCUAUUGUGAAGAAUGCUGUCAUGAACAUGGAUGCACAAAUAUCUUUCGAGGACCUUGCUUUCAGUUCUUUUGAAUAUAUAUCCAGACGUGGAAGAGCUCAAUCAUAUGGUAAUUCUAUCCUUAAUUUUUAGGGACCUGACGUAAUAUUUGCCAUAAUAGUUGCACAAUUUUCCAUCCCUACC
Long non-coding RNA from Suricata suricatta (meerkat), 371 nucleotides. RefSeq lists it as uncharacterized. The record is from RefSeq and is a predicted model, not a curated record. NCBI's taxonomy places the organism in Eukaryota, Metazoa, Chordata, Mammalia, Carnivora, Herpestidae. The transcript is spliced from 3 exons.